AUGGUAUAUGGACUUCAUGGACUACAGAGGAAAACAUAUGCUGAAAGCUUGCAGCCAGAAGAGCACAAAUGGACGGUCCAAAGCUUCACCUUGGUUUUUAUCAACCCUGCUUGGGCGACUUAAAACAUGCGGCGUUGUAUCUUGAUACCGAUGACCGGGAUGUAGUCUUUGAGGUUAUUAGAUUGCAUCCAGUCUUUCAGCACAACAUUGUGCAUUGAGAUCAAAACAUCCCAAGAAUUUUGUUGGCGAAGUCUUCAUUGCUGUGAUUAGCAAAAAUGACAUGUAAAGAGUAUACAAAGUUGUCAGUGCGACCCCUGUGGAUAACGACAUCAUGAAUUUGGAUUGCCAGGAGUAUGUGCCUGAUAUUCCCAACAAGCUAGAAUAUGAGUUUAUUUUGGAAGAGGGU
RNAcentral lists this small RNA (406 nucleotides) under Histoplasma capsulatum. RNAcentral's name for it is "hypothetical RNA". RNAcentral also lists the same sequence under 1 other name. Lineage: Eukaryota; Fungi; Ascomycota; Eurotiomycetes; Onygenales; Ajellomycetaceae. The record is from RNAcentral.